Suricata suricatta (meerkat) is the source of this 444-nucleotide long non-coding RNA. RefSeq lists it as uncharacterized. NCBI's taxonomy places the organism in Eukaryota, Metazoa, Chordata, Mammalia, Carnivora, Herpestidae. The record is from RefSeq and is a predicted model, not a curated record. The transcript is spliced from 5 exons.
CCAGACUUUCAGCUGCACCACAGCGCUCUCCAAAUUAAAUCAGCACAUCAACAAUCACAUAAUUCGUGGUGCACCGUGAACUCCUCAACCACUGGCACCCGGUCACUCCACUCGAGCUGUCAGGAGACAAAACUGCUGCCCUUACAACACUGUCGACUAACUCUAACCUGCCUCACUCCCUCUGUGAAAACUGGAUGCCUGGGAUGUUCCAGUGGUACUGGAUUCUAUGCCUGGUAGAAGCAACAGCCAUAAAUUAAUUGACCUUGACCUACAGAUCCUACAUCUGGACACUUCAGUGAUGCCCAACAUGUGGAAACUUCAAAUGAUUAUUUUGAGAAGAGCACAAAAGGACACACGGCGGCCGAGCAGGGAAAUGAUUAUUUAAAGCACACUGAAUUCCCAAGAAGAAACAAUAUACAAACUGGAUGUAAACCUUCUGUGAAA